ACACGUAGGGGGCGAGCGUUGUUCGGAAUCAUUGGGCGUAAAGGGCGCGCAGGCGGCGAGGCAAGUCCGGUGUGAAAGUGCUCGGCUCAACCGAGUGAUGCGCUGGAAACUGCCCUGCUUGAGUACAGGAGGGGACGUCGGAAUUCCAGGUGUAGGGGUGAAAUCUGUAGAUAUCUGGAAGAACACCGGUGGCGAAGGCGGACGACUGGCCAUGUACUGACGCUGAGGCGCGAAGGUGCGGGGAGCGAACAGGUUUAGAUACCCUGGUAGUCCGCACAGUAAACGAUGUGCACCAGGUGGCGGGGGGUAGCCCUCGGUACCGAAGCAAACGCAUUAAGUGCACCGCCUGGGGAGUAUGCUCGCAAGGGUGAAACUCAAAUGAAUUG
Molecule: ribosomal RNA, 386 nt
Filed under: uncultured bacterium
Lineage: Bacteria
Description: partial 16S ribosomal RNA
Rfam family: Bacterial small subunit ribosomal RNA
Source: RNAcentral